GACGAACGCUGGCGGCGUGCCUAAUACAUGCAAGUAGAACGCUGAAGGAGGAGCUUGCUUCUCCGGAUGAGUUGCGAACGGGUGAGUAACGCGUAGGUAACCUGCCUGGUAGCGGGGGAUAACUAUUGGAAACGAUAGCUAAUACCGCAUAAGAGUAGAUGUCGCAUGACAUUUGCUUAAAAGGUGCAACUGCACCACUACCAGAUGGACCUGCGUUGUAUUAGCUAGUUGGUGAGGUAACGGCUCACCAAGGCAACGAUACAUAGCCGACCUGAGAGGGUGAUCGGCCACACUGGGACGGGGACACGGCACAGACUCCUACGGGAGGCAGCAGUAGGGAAUCUUCGGCAAGGGACGGAAGUCUGACCGAGCAACGCCGCGUGAGUGAAGAAGGUUUUCGGAUCGUAAAGCUCGGUUGUAAGAGAAGAACGAGUGUGAGAGUGGAAAGUUCACACUGUGACGGUAUCUUACCAGAAAGGGACGGCUAACUACGUG
This 495-nucleotide ribosomal RNA is filed under the name uncultured bacterium. RNAcentral describes it as "partial 16S ribosomal RNA". It matches the Rfam family "Bacterial small subunit ribosomal RNA", at positions 28 to 507 of the family's 1533-position model. The record is from RNAcentral.